UCAAAAACAUCGCCUCUUGAUUUCUGAUAAGAGGUCCAGCCUGCCCAGUGACCAUGUUCAACGGCCGCGGUAUCCUAACCGUGCGAAGGUAGCGUAAUCACUUGUUCUUUAAAUGUGGACUAGUAUGAACGGCUUCACGAAGGUUAUACUGUCUCCUUUUUCUAAUCAGUGAAACUAAUUUCCCCGUGAAGAAGCGGGGAUAAAGCUAUAAGACGAGAAGACCCUAUGGAGCUUAAAACGACACAGCACUUACCAAANAAUUUUUAAUGUUUCUGUANACACUNAAUUCUUUAAAGUAAAAUGACUGCAAGUUUUCGGUUGGGGUGACCACGGAGUAUAUCAUAACCUCCAUGUUGAAAGAAUUUCUUUCUAAGCCAAGAAUAACCAAUCUAAGCAUUAAUAAAUUAACAUCUAUUGACCCAAUAAAUUUGAUCAACGAACCAAGUUACCCUAGGGAUAACAGCGCAAUCCACUUCAAGAGCUCCUAUCGACAAGUGGGUUUACGACCUCGAUGUUGGAUCAGGGUAUCCCAGUGGUGCAGCCGCUACUAAAGGUUCGUUUGUUCAACGAUUAAAACCCUACGUGAUCUGAGUU
This 594-nucleotide ribosomal RNA is filed under the name Rhinella granulosa (granular toad). Its description in RNAcentral is "partial large subunit ribosomal RNA". It matches the Rfam family "Bacterial large subunit ribosomal RNA", at positions 1807 to 2611 of the family's 2925-position model. The record is from RNAcentral. Lineage: Eukaryota; Metazoa; Chordata; Amphibia; Anura; Bufonidae.